This 503-nucleotide ribosomal RNA is filed under the name uncultured bacterium. RNAcentral describes it as "bacterial SSU rRNA". It matches the Rfam family "Bacterial small subunit ribosomal RNA", at positions 8 to 507 of the family's 1533-position model. The record is from RNAcentral.
AGAGUUUGAUCAUGGCUCAGAUUAAACGCUGGCGGCAUGCCUUACACAUGCAAGUCGAACGGCAGCACGGGGGCAACCCUGGUGGCGAGUGGCGGACGGGUGAGUAAGCAUCGGAACGUAUCCUGGAGUGGGGAUAACGUAGCGAAAGUUACGCUAAUACCGCAUAUUCUGUGAGCAGGAAAGCAGGGGAUCGCAAGACCUUGCGCUCUGGGAGCGGCCGAUGUCGGAUUAGCUAGUUGGUGAGGUAAAGGCUCACCAAGGCGACGAUCUGUAGCGGGUCUGAGAGGAUGAUCCGCCACACUGGAACUGAGACACGGUCCAGACUCCUACGGGAGGCAGCAGUGGGGAAUUUUUGGACAAUGGGGGCAACCCUGAUCCAGCCAUGCCGCGUGAGUGAAGAAGGCCUUCGGGUUGUAAAGCUCUUUCGGCCGGGAAGAAAUCGCAUGGGUUAAUACCCUGUGCGGAUGACGGUACCGGCAUAAGAAGCACCGGCUAACUACGUG